CGCACAUUGCGCCCUUUGGCAUUCCGAAGGGCAUGCCCGUUCGAGCGUCAUUAAAUCCAAUCAAGUUUAACUUGGUAUUGGGCGCGAGGGUCCCCCUCCGCCCCAAUGUCCCCGGCUGGCCGUCGCCUGUCUUAACGUCGUGACGCAUCUCGUUAAGGCAGGGGCGGUGCAUGCCGUCAGAAUUCAACAAAGCCCUCGCGGACUUUGAUUAAGGUUGACCUCGGAUCGGGUAGGAAUACCCGCUGAACUUAA
RNAcentral lists this unclassified non-coding RNA (252 nucleotides) under Capnodiales sp. RNAcentral's name for it is "partial contains 5.8S ribosomal RNA, internal transcribed spacer 2, and large subunit ribosomal RNA". The record is from RNAcentral. Lineage: Eukaryota; Fungi; Ascomycota; Dothideomycetes; Capnodiales.